GACGAACGCUGGCGGCGUGCUUAACACAUGCAAGUCGAACGGAAAGGCCCUGCUUUUGUGGGGUGCUCGAGUGGCGAACGGGUGAGUAACACGUGAGUAACCUGCCCUUGACUUUGGGAUAACUUCAGGAAACUGGGGCUAAUACCGGAUAGGAGCUCCUGCUGCAUGGUGGGGGUUGGAAAGUUUCGGCGGUUGGGGAUGGACUCGCGGCUUAUCAGCUUGUUGGUGGGGUAGUGGCUUACCAAGGCUUUGACGGGUAGCCGGCCUGAGAGGGUGACCGGCCACAUUGGGACUGAGAUACGGCCCAGACUCCUACGGGAGGCAGCAGUGGGAAAUAUUGCACAAUGGGCGGAAGCCUGAUGCAGCAACGCCGCGUGCGGGAUGACGGCCUUCGGGUUGUGAACCGCUUUCGCCUGUGACGAAGCGUGAGUGACGGUAAUGGGUAAAGAAGCACCGGCUAACUACGUG
Molecule: ribosomal RNA, 468 nt
Filed under: uncultured bacterium
Lineage: Bacteria
Description: partial 16S ribosomal RNA
Rfam family: Bacterial small subunit ribosomal RNA
Source: RNAcentral